Molecule: long non-coding RNA, 1464 nt
Filed under: Salmo salar (Atlantic salmon)
Lineage: Eukaryota; Metazoa; Chordata; Actinopteri; Salmoniformes; Salmonidae
Description: lncRNA (ENSSSAG00000083807.1)
Source: RNAcentral
AAUGAAGGAUGGAUACGGAAUAGUUAUGAAGUAUCAAAUAAUUGUAAAGAAUGAUUUCAUAAUCAUUUUGUAGUGAAUUCAGGAAGUAGGCCCGUCCGGGACUCAAACCAGGGUCCGGUAACUGUCAAGCCAAGACUUUAAUGGUAACGCCAAGAGGUCUGGGUUAAGGUUACUAUAUUACCACCUUCCUUCAGGAGAGUGUCCCCACACUUCUCUAUACCAAGUCUCUCUCAUGUGUACACGCCUCUCCGAUGGCCUCACGGGUACCAUCCCAAUUCACUAGGUGUGGGUUAAGGUCUCCUACAAUAUCGAUUUUCAAGUAUGUUUUCAUAUUUCAUACACACACAGCCUAAAGCACAUGGUAUCUAAUGUUACAAAUAUAUCCAGCCAGGGUCAAUUACUUAUUUUGUAAUUUGUUUGAAUAGCUUUUUGUGUGUUUGUUUUCUUGACAUGAAGGACUUGUGGUGGUUUGAUAUGAAGAACAUGAAGGACUUGAGGUGGUUUGAUAUGAAGAACAUGAAGGACUUGAGGUUGUUUGAUAUGAAGCACUUGAGGUGGUUUGAUAUGAAGGACUUGAGGUGGUUUGAUAUGAAGGACAAUAGGUGGUUUGAUAUGAAGGACAAGAGGUGGUUUGAUAUGAAGGACAUGAGGUGGUUUGAUAUGAAGGACAAGAGGUGGUUUGAUAUGAAGUACAUGAGGUGGUUUGAUAUGAAGGACAUAAGGUGGUUUGAUAUGAAGGACAAGAGGUGGUUUGAUAUGAAGGACUCACAUACAACCAAACUUUAUUUAGAUCAUGCUGGAUUAAUCUGAUUCUGUUCAUACUGUACUAGGCUACCUAAGGUCUAGUAUGCACUAAUGCAGUGGUUCCCAACCAUUCUUUUGUUACUGUACCACCAACUGAAUUUUGCUCUGCCUGGAGUACCCCUGAAGUACCCCCUCGUGUAUUUUACCAGUAGGGCUAUGGGCUCAUGAGUCUUCUCAAGUACCCCUGUGGAUAGACCAGGUACCCCCAGGGGUCCUAGUACCACUGGUUGGGAACCACUGCAGUAAUGAACUCUUAAAGUGGAUGUGAAUGAAGGAUAUGCCAGCAUGUACAUUAGCUAGUGUUGAGAUUUUAAGAUACUAUUUUAAAUGUAAAAAGAAAAAAAAAAAACAUCUGCAUUUUGUACUGCAAUGUACGUACUCGCACGCACACUCACUCAGGAAUUACAUACGACGUUAAUACACCUUUGUUACAUAUUUAUUGUGGAUAAUAUAUUUACUAUUUAGUCACGAUCUCAACAUCUCUGUUUUGAAUGGACAAUGCCUACUGGCAUCAUUGUUUACAGUCUGCUAAAAGUUUACUUCAGAGAUGUAUAUGAAGAAAAAACAUCUACAAUAUUGUAAAUAAAUGUGUAAAUAUGUAAUUUGGUUUACUUUGUGUUUUAUUUUCACUUAACAAUAACAGAUAUGGUGAAGAAAGCU